This is a long non-coding RNA of Bos taurus (domestic cattle), 1897 nucleotides long. Lineage: Eukaryota; Metazoa; Chordata; Mammalia; Artiodactyla; Bovidae. The record is from Ensembl.
GCUGACCUUCCCCAGGGUUCAGGGAAGGCUACACAAAAGAAGCAGUGUUCAAACCAGGUCUCAAAAGAUGAGGAAUUAUUUGUCAAGUCAGGCAAUGGGACUGAAGUUCAAAGGGCCAGAGAUUUGAAAGAGUUCAAUGCUUUCAGGCCAAGUGCAAUAUUCAAACCACAAGCCCUGGCCACCUUACAGACCAGCUCAUUCGUUCCAUGUUUAAUGGAUGAAGUUACCAAGAUUCAGGCAAGGAGGGGAACUCAUGAAAUUCAUACCCAAGUUAGAAGUGUCCACAAUGGAACUGAAGUCUCCAGACCACAGGAGAAAAAGGCCUGCCACGACUGUCUGGAGAAGGUCAUAUCAUCUGGCUCGACAGUAAGGCUGCACGCAUGGAAGUUAGACCUUGAACUCAAAAAGACUUGCUUGCAUUCAAGACCUACAUCUACCCCAGCUCGGACCUUGUCUUCAGCUGGACUGGAGCACCACGAACUCCAGGGGUAAAGGGAAGCGUCUAGAGCCCAAUUCCUUCACCACUUUAGUUCCUCUGAAAGACCUUGGCUGAGUGAGAUGCUUGAGGCUGGAGCCAAGCCUUCGUCGCUCUCACCAUCCCAAACCCCUCACGGCAGAGAACCAGCAUCUCUGGAGCCUGAGCUGCUGCCCCUGGAGCCCACCCCCCUCAACCUGUUCAUGAACCCACCUGUGUCACCUGGACUCUGGCUACUCUCAGACCCUGAGAUUAGAGUCAGUAGAAGGUGGGAGAGAAAUUUAAGAGACUUGGCGUUCCCUCUCCCUCGCUUUCUCCUUCCCCCUCUCUCUCUCUCUCAAGGCAGCCCCCCGUGGUGUUUGUUCUCACAGAGGCCCAAGGAAGAAGGAUGGUCACUUGCCUUUCUCCCAGAGAUAAUUGAAGAGAAGUAAGAAAGUACCUAUGUUUGAAGGCAAAAUGACGACAAUUAAUCUCUAAACACAGGGCCUUGCCAUUAAAUUCUUUGGAGAAACAAGUUUAGGAGUUUAAGGACAGUCGAGAGAAUGAAAUUGAAUUAAGAGAAAUAGUAAUUAAAUCAGGAAAGAAGUUUUUGCAAAGGGGAUGGUGAAGGAAAUUAAAACCAGUAAUGCUGAAAAAUGUGGUGGGCAGAGAUGGGGCUGGGGUGGGUAUGCUUUGUGGAGGACAGGAAAAGAGCAGAGCAAAGCGAGUUGGGAGGUGCAGAGUAUUUGGCACUCAGGAAAGGCUUUGGAAACUGGUUUCCUUGAGAGACCAGGUGUCUGGCUCAAGUUGGGUCUAAAUAGGCCACCUCCUAAUGGGGACAAGCUCUCCCUCAGGAAAAUAGAAGUAUCAGUCGGAUAAAGUAUAAAAGAGCCAUGAAGUAGGGUGACCAGGUGUCCUGGUUUUGCCCGGGACCACCCCAGUUUCACUACUCAGAGUGCCAUGUUCCAGGAAGCCCUCAGUCGAGAGCGAACUGAGACUGUUGGUCACACGAACACGGAGGCAGAGUGCCCUGGCUCCCCGCUCCACCAUGCAGUCAGGAGCUCCGUGAUGCUGGGCGAGUCACUCCAUUUCUGUGGGCCUCAGCUUUCUUACCUACAAAAAGAGCUGUCCUGGGUACCCCAAAAGAUUAAAGAAGUUGCUAUAUGUCGAUGUCUAGAACAAUGUGCAUGAAGUGAAGCAUGAUGAAUGGGAGUUGAAGUGAACAAGGUGAAUAAAGAAAACAUAAAAUAUUAGCAAGCACAACCCAACAACACGUUAAGAAGUGAUACAGGGGUUUCCCUGGUGGCUCAGUGGUAAAGAAUCCAUCUGCCAGUGCAGGAGACACGGGUUCAAUCCCUGGUCCAGGAAGGUUCCACAUGCCUCCGAGGUGUUAAGCCUACUGGCUCAGUUACUGAGCCACGUGCCAUACUACUGAAGCCCAUG